RNAcentral lists this transfer RNA (73 nucleotides) under Glarea lozoyensis. Its description in RNAcentral is "tRNA-Met". It matches the Rfam family "tRNA". Rfam says of the family: Transfer RNA (tRNA) molecules are approximately 80 nucleotides in length. Their secondary structure includes four short double-helical elements and three loops (D, anti-codon, and T loops). The record is from RNAcentral. Lineage: Eukaryota; Fungi; Ascomycota; Leotiomycetes; Helotiales; Helotiaceae. RNAcentral also lists the same sequence under 1 other name.
GCCAGGAUAGUUUAACUGGUUAGAACAUUAAUUUCAUGCAUUAAAAAUGGGAAUUCAACUUUCCCUCCCGGCU